Molecule: ribosomal RNA, 368 nt
Filed under: uncultured bacterium
Lineage: Bacteria
Description: bacterial SSU rRNA
Rfam family: Bacterial small subunit ribosomal RNA
Source: RNAcentral
ACAGAUCGUUCAGUAGUUUGAUCCUGGCUCAGGACGAACGCUGGCGGCGUGCCUAACACAUGCAAGUCGAACGGAGUGUUGCGCUGAUUUGAUAGCAGCUUGCUGCAGGAUUUUCUUGUAACACUUAGUGGCGGACGGGUGAGUAACGCGUGAGCAACCUGCCUUACAGAGGGGGACAACAGUUGGAAACGACUGCUAAUACCGCAUAACGUAGCGAGGGGACAUCCCCAUGCUACCAAAGGAGCAAUCCGCUGUAAGAUGGGCUCGCGUCCGAUUAGAUAGUUGGUGAGGUAACGGCUCACCAAGUCGACGAUCGGUAGCCGGACUGAGAGGUUGAACGGCCACAUUGGGACUGAGACACGGCCCAG